Molecule: long non-coding RNA, 2098 nt
Organism: Oncorhynchus mykiss (rainbow trout)
Lineage: Eukaryota; Metazoa; Chordata; Actinopteri; Salmoniformes; Salmonidae
Source: RefSeq, a predicted model, not a curated record
AUGUAAUGUGAAACACCUCUGCAUUGAAAUAAGUGUAACAAAUGAAUGUCAACUAAGUUGUUUUCUAAGAUUACUAUAUAUUGUUAUUGACCCGUAUUUAAUUUCCAGUGGUUAAAUUCUGUAUUUUAGAUCAAAGUAUCAGUCUUAUGCUGUGUCUUGAGGGGUGUUGGAUUGUAUGAGGUGAGAACUGCAAUAAUCUGAAGCUGGACAUGGUGUUUUAGUAAAUGCAGGUGAGAGUUCAACCACGUGCUCCAGUUAUUCUGGGCAACAAGGUCAUUUAGUCAUACCACCAGUCACACCACACCUGCCCUCACUUAUCAUUGCCGCAGCAAGUCUGGAGAUAUGCCAGAAAUAUUAACAAGGCUACAAUAUCAAAAUUGUACAUAGCAACAACUAUAUAUAGGCCAGACUUGUCUAUGAAAUUGGGUCCUGCUUGUGACAUCUCUAUUUUUUUUGUUGCUUUAAUAAAAAAUAAAAAAAUUACAUUCAAAAUAUUUUUGUUUAUUUAAAAAAAAAAAAGUACAUACAGGAAAACUGUACAAUUACAUUAAUCAACAGCAGACUGAACACAGCAGUGCAGAUCACCUCAAGAUAAAAACGUAGUAUUCAAUAUCUUUAAAUAUUAGCACUUCAAGUACUGGUGGGUAAUAACAUUCAAUCUGGAUAACGACACAAAACAAAUCAUAUGGCUAGAGAAAUGUAUCGACAAAUAUUACGAAAACAAGCAAAACCCAAACAUGACGGAGAUUAAACAAGGAGAACCAAUCUCCAAAAGAAAACGUGAGUCCUCGAUGGAUACAGGCGACUUAAGCUUUUCACCACCGGGAAUCUGUUAAAAUCAAUAAAUGACAAACUGGGAAUACUUGAACUAGUCAGUAAAGAUAUAAAAGAAUUGUAGGCGAGCCUCAAGAUGAGUGACGAAAAAGAUGCGACAAUAGAGAAACAAACAAACAAGCUAAAAAGGGACAGUCAAGAAGAUUGAAAUGGACGUUAAUGAACUUAAAAAGGAGAACACCUUUCAUCUUUCUGAGAAAAGCCUAACGGCUCGUGUUCACUAGCACACGGUAUAUUUCCCAGAGUGGCUCGGUUGUGGGCGUGCUGGCAGCAUAUAGCAGCAUGUUUGAUUGUGCGUCAAGAAUUCAGCAUAGCAAGUUUGUAUGAAGGUCUGGGUAUUAAAUGGGUAAAUAGUUUAAUCCUUUCUCAAUUUCAGGAAUUUAUUCACAGGUAAAUAAUAAUAUGCUGUAAAACAUUCUGGUGACAAACACACUUUGUUGCCCUGUUUCCAAUCGUCCACAUGGCUGAAUCGUCCACAUGGCUGGGAGAACCUAUUCAAGCAAGUCUUUGGUCCUCAGAUACAGAGAGCUGUGAAAGCCUGUCUGCAGAUGAAGAGGUCCCAAUGAAGAGCAGUGGUUCUUAGUCCUGGGGACUCAAAGAGAUACCUUUUAACUGGAGAUCCCUUCAAAAAGAUUGCCAACAGUUACCGUGUAGAGCACUGCCAGAUUGGGUGACCAGGGCCAUCUCGGACUGCCUCCUGGGGAAUUCAGGCGUGUGAAGGCUACCUGUGUCCUGCAUAACUUCAUACGAAUGGACACGAGGACCAGGAGGGGAUCUGCAGCUCGCCGCCGUGUGCCAGAGGAGAAGUCUGCUGCUCUGCAGGAUGUUUCAAGGAUGGUGUCCAACAACGCAGGAAGAGAGGCAAUCUGUGUGCGGGAGAUUUUCACCUCCUACUUCUUUGAAGAGGGUGCUGUUCCCUGGGAACACCAUACACUACACUAUGCACAACCAAAGGCUCUUCCAUUUACUUAGCUAUGUCAACUGCAGUUAUUCAAUUCCCAGUUUCUUUCCCAGUUUGAUUUCUGCUUCUCGGGUGAGGGUACUGUUUAGGUAAUGGUGUGAUGUCUGUACAAAAACAAAACAGUCUAUUUUAAGUCCCUGUUGGGGUUUGUUUCCUUAUUCCUUGUCAAUCAUUGGCUCAUUGGUGAAAUUAGCAUUUUGACAAUAUCUUUGUCAUGUAUUGUCAUAUUAUGUCUUGUUCCUGUUCUUUCUCUUCACUCCGUCUCCCUCUGCUGGUCGUAUUAGCUUCCCCUCCUUCCCCCAG